This 253-nucleotide ribosomal RNA is filed under the name uncultured bacterium. RNAcentral's name for it is "partial 16S ribosomal RNA". It matches the Rfam family "Bacterial small subunit ribosomal RNA", at positions 524 to 776 of the family's 1533-position model. The record is from RNAcentral.
UACGUAGGGUGCGAGCGUUAAUCGGAAUUACUGGGCGUCAAGCGUGCGCAGGCGGUUUUGUAAGCCAGAUGUGAAAUCCCCGGGCUUAACCUGGGAAUGGCAUUUGGGACUGCAAGGCUGGAGUGCGGCAGAGGAGACUGGAAUUCCUGGUGUAGCAGUGAAAUGCGUAGAUAUCAGGAGGAACACCGAUGGCGAAGGCAAUCCCCUGGGCCUGUACUGACGCUCAUGCACGAAAGCGUGGGGAGCAAACAGG